Molecule: ribosomal RNA, 1139 nt
Filed under: Limosilactobacillus fermentum
Lineage: Bacteria; Bacillati; Bacillota; Bacilli; Lactobacillales; Lactobacillaceae
Description: bacterial SSU rRNA
Rfam family: Bacterial small subunit ribosomal RNA
Source: RNAcentral
AGACCGGCGGGUGCUAUACAUGCAGUCGAACGCGUUGGCCCAAUUGAUUGAUGGUGCUUGCACCUGAUUGAUUUUGGUCGCCAACGAGUGGCGGACGGGUGAGUAACACGUAGGUAACCUGCCCAGAAGCGGGGGACAACAUUUGGAAACAGAUGCUAAUACCGCAUAACAACGUUGUUCGCAUGAACAACGCUUAAAAGAUGGCUUCUCGCUAUCACUUCUGGAUGGACCUGCGGUGCAUUAGCUUGUUGGUGGGGUAACGGCCUACCAAGGCGAUGAUGCAUAGCCGAGUUGAGAGACUGAUCGGCCACAAUGGGACUGAGACACGGCCCAUACUCCUACGGGAGGCAGCAGUAGGGAAUCUUCCACAAUGGGCGCAAGCCUGAUGGAGCAACACCGCGUGAGUGAAGAAGGGUUUCGGCUCGUAAAGCUCUGUUGUUAAAGAAGAACACGUAUGAGAGUAACUGUUCAUACGUUGACGGUAUUUAACCAGAAAGUCACGGCUAACUACGUGCCAGCAGCCGCGGUAAUACGUAGGUGGCAAGCGUUAUCCGGAUUUAUUGGGCGUAAAGAGAGUGCAGGCGGUUUUCUAAGUCUGAUGUGAAAGCCUUCGGCUUAACCGGAGAAGUGCAUCGGAAACUGGAUAACUUGAGUGCAGAAGAGGGUAGUGGAACUCCAUGUGUAGCGGUGGAAUGCGUAGAUAUAUGGAAGAACACCAGUGGCGAAGGCGGCUACCUGGUCUGCAACUGACGCUGAGACUCGAAAGCAUGGGUAGCGAACAGGAUUAGAUACCCUGGUAGUCCAUGCCGUAAACGAUGAGUGCUAGGUGUUGGAGGGUUUCCGCCCUUCAGUGCCGGAGCUAACGCAUUAAGCACUCCGCCUGGGGAGUACGACCGCAAGGUUGAAACUCAAAGGAAUUGACGGGGGCCCGCACAAGCGGUGGAGCAUGUGGUUUAAUUCGAAGCUACGCGAAGAACCUUACCAGGUCUUGACAUCUUGCGCCAACCCUAGAGAUAGGGCGUUUCCUUCGGGACGCAAUGACAGUGUGCAUGGUCGUCGUCAGCUCGUGUCGUGAGAUGUUGGGUUAAGUCCCGCAACGAGCGCAACCCUUGUUACUAGUUGCCAGCAUUAAGUUGGGG